Maniola jurtina (meadow brown) is the source of this 2813-nucleotide long non-coding RNA. RefSeq lists it as uncharacterized. The record is from RefSeq and is a predicted model, not a curated record. NCBI's taxonomy places the organism in Eukaryota, Metazoa, Arthropoda, Insecta, Lepidoptera, Nymphalidae. The transcript is spliced from 2 exons.
AAAAAAAUCAGCUUACUUUAUUCAAUGGAAUUUGGAAAAAAAAAUACAAAUUACUCUCCAAAGGCGGACUUUACUCUAGCUUUGAGCUCUGUACAACCAGUACACCUACUAUUUAUAGUAAUUAGUAUAUUCACAACACAAUUAUUGUAUACAAUGAUAUGACAAACAAUUUAGUUUCUACAUUUACUUAGCGGUACGUAGACGUACACUAAUUAAGAGAAUUAUUUUACUUAAAGCUACGCGUCAACAGUGCUUGCGAACCUGUAACGCUAAAACAGAUGAUUUUGCGGAACGCUCAGUCAGUCAGUUAGUCGUGUCAAAAUGAUGCUAUAGAAGCUCCAUACGUAAGAACGUGUAACAACGAGGUAUGAGGGCCCGUUUUCCACCCAAGCGGAGCGGAGAGGAGAUAUGUUCAAUCGACCAAUCAGAUUCUUAAUAGAUGACUUCAAAAAAUUGACACGUCGUGUUUGAGAUAUCUGAUUGGUCGAUUGAAUAUAUCUCCCCGCUCCGCUCCGCUUGGAUAGAAACCGGACCUUAAGAAUGGAGGUCGGGGUUUUCGCGACCAAUUUUCGUCUGCGGAGCGACUUUUCCUUUUGAAUAGUUUAGAGAGUUGAAGUACAGGUUCGUGAACAUCGUGACAACCCAGCUUAACAAAAAUGAGAUUACUUUAAAAAACUUGGCACAAAAUAAUUAGAGACUAUCUACUUAAAUGACGUUAGAAAAAAUCACGAAUUAUAAUAAUCGAAUACCCUGCGGGACGCUAUGACGAGAUAAAAAGUAACUGACGGUACACUUAAAAAAAUAACACUAAACUAUUUUUUUUUUAGGUAAAUAUUAAUUAACGACUAACAUAAAAAAUCUAACUCCUAAUGAUUUAAAUCUAAUACUGAAAAUAUCGAAACACUUUACAUUUAAACAUCACACUAUAUUAUUUUUUUUUAGGUUUUUUUCGUUUAAAUAAUAUAUAUAUUUAACAACGCACUGUACAAACAACAAAGUUUUCCGUUACAUAUUAUAGUUAUAGUUACAUUUAAUAUUAUAAUAUACGUACGUGUACUUAUGUUAUAUAUAAUUAAAUUAUCAUUAUAAUUAAAUAAUCGUAAAGUGAGGCGGUUUUGUGAUUUGUCGGUGCGGCAAAGGUGUAGUAUCGGUAACUAUAAUAUUACUGCUAUGCUUGCUAGCAUUUGAAUAUACUAAAUGGUAAUAGACCCAGAUUUGCCGGAAAUGAUAAAAAGAGACAAAUUCAUUAAUAGCAACAUGGUUGUACACGCACAGCGGUAUCAUUUCGGUAUAAGACUUAGCCGAGACCAUACUAAUGCCGCACUGACAAAUAAAGAAACUGCCUAAGGGUCAAAAUAGUGGGCGGAUUUUACAGUACAAUAUUUUUAAUGAGAAAAAUAUUACUUGCUAACUUUUACAAAAAAGUUGUUUUUUUACAACGCCCACAAAAAAUUGCGGGUAAUAUUUUUGGAUAUAUAGUAAAGUAGGUGUAAAUAGACAAACUAUUGUUAAUUUUGAAAUCUAAAUAUACCCCCACCCUAGAGUAGACUAAACACACCUAUGUUCGACUUCAAAGUAAAUAUUUCACUAUGAAAAUCAAGAAAAAUCUUAAUAUUAUUGUCUUCUGAAUGGUUAUAUUAUGUAUUUAAAAAAUAUUAGUUUUCAAUAUACCUAGCGACGAAUAAAUUCAACAUUUUGAGAUUUCAAAUUGUACCUUCAGUCAAUAUGUCAAAUUUAUUCCUCAUACACACAUUUUUGAUAAUUUUGUGCCCAACGACAUUUCUGACGUUGUAUUGUGAAUGUGGUAUGUAAGAACAUUUUAUAUAGGCUGUGUUGUUACUUAAUAUAGUAUAUUGCAGCUAUUAUUUUAUAUAUAUUGUGUUAUAAGUGUGUUCAGCCUUUAUCACGUCAACAUGGCGCCCAUAACUCCAAACCUGCAAAAUUACGUCCGAAUCACAGCCAAACCGUUUAUAAACAUUCCAAAAAUAUCUUCUGAAAAUUUAGCAUGGCAUGAGAUUACACAGAACGCCUUUGCGCUACAAUAUAAGCUUAGUAAUUAUAACUAAGGGUUGCUUCCCACGGUCCGUAAAAGCACGAGCAUAUUUACUUCUAGUGUUAUUUUUCUAUUGGUUUUUAUAUAGUAAAAUAUUGAUUUUUUUCGUUGUUUAUCUAUUUUUAUUAAUAUUUAGAAUUGCUGACAGAAAAUCAGAUGCGCAAAUCGUCCCCGACAUUUCUUAAUGUUAUUUUUCUCAUGAGUCAGUACAAAUUAAAAUGUAGCAUUUGUAGUUCGUACGUACUAUCGCGACCCAUGAAAAGCCACCCCCUAACAACAAAAGUGAAUUGAAAAAUGAGGAGAAAUUCUGACAUAGGUAUAUUAUACAAAUACAAUAUAGGCUAUUUUAUACAAAAAGCGAUAUAAAGAUAGAUUAAAUCAUAAGGGAAGUUACGUGAAGGAAUUUAUUAAAAAAAAAAUGUUAAUUAGGUUGUGCGUAGACAAUAUUCUUAUACAAAUCUCAAUCAUACGAUAAAGGUAGCUGUCCACCAGACAUGUGCGAGAUAUACGAGCUGUAAGAAAAAUGUCAACCAAUAAGGCUGCAUUUCCACCAGGGAUGUAAAGGGGUUGUCGUUUAAUCGCGUGAGAUAGCAUUGGCUUAUUAUCCUUUUCAUAUUAAACAGCUUUAUCCGAUGGACUACCGUACUUAGAUAUAAAUAAAUGCGUAGACUAGGUCAGCGGCAAAUAUUGGAACAUAAGUUAUAAUGUUAGUAAUUAGUUCAUUUAUUUUAUUUGAUGGUUACAGAUCAAAAUGUAGUCU